CUCGGGUGCGGUCCUCACCUACUUAGCCGUAGAAAUCCUCAUUGCCAUCGUUCAGCACAUGGAACAAAGCCCAUUUUCAUCCAUUGUCCUCGAGGAAAGACAAGGGGAAAGGCAUACAGUGGCUGCAAAUAACAGCUAGCAUCCAGGGUCACUGUGGAUCCUAUUCCCGGAAUACUGGGCAUGAGAUGGGAAUACACCCUUGAGGAGACACCAGUCGAUCGCAGGGCACCAUGUACACCUAGGGGGAAUUAAGAGUGCACCUACUGGCAAGUUUUUGAGAGGAAUAUGCAAAGCAGCCUGGCUGGCAAUGCAAGAGACACCUGAGGGCUAAUGACUCAGUGAAAAUCUCUCACCUUCAUGCCUCCAGUCCCGAACUCAGUCACAUACAAAUGAGAGAAAGGCAGAAGAAGGGGAGCAAAGAACGCUAAAGAGAAGAGAAGGUGAGUGACUCUGUGUACGCUAUAUCUAUAAAUAUUCCCAUGUGUUCUAGAUCUAGCCCUAAAGAGCGUCUCAGUGGUCUUCUUCCC
Long non-coding RNA from Ictalurus punctatus (channel catfish), 527 nucleotides. The record is from Ensembl. NCBI's taxonomy places the organism in Eukaryota, Metazoa, Chordata, Actinopteri, Siluriformes, Ictaluridae.